RNAcentral lists this ribosomal RNA (493 nucleotides) under Escherichia coli. RNAcentral describes it as "bacterial LSU rRNA". It matches the Rfam family "Bacterial large subunit ribosomal RNA", at positions 1 to 524 of the family's 2925-position model. Lineage: Bacteria; Pseudomonadati; Pseudomonadota; Gammaproteobacteria; Enterobacterales; Enterobacteriaceae. The record is from RNAcentral.
GGGUUGUGAGGUUAAGCGACUAAGCGUACACGGUGGAUGCCCUGGCAGUCAGAGGCGAUGAAGGACGUGCUAAUCUGCGAUAAGCGUCGGUAAGGUGAUAUGAACCGUUAUAACCGGCGAUUUCCGAAUGGGGAAACCCAGUGUGAUUCGUCACACUAUCAUUAACUGAAUCCAUAGGUUAAUGAGGCGAACCGGGGGAACUGAAACAUCUAAGUACCCCGAGGAAAAGAAAUCAACCGAGAUUCCCCCAGUAGCGGCGAGCGAACGGGGAGCAGCCCAGAGCCUGAAUCAGUGUGUGUGUUAGUGGAAGCGUCUGGAAAGGCGUGCGAUACAGGGUGACAGCCCCGUACACAAAAAUGCACAUAUUGUGAGCUCGAUGAGUAGGGCGGGACACGUGGUAUCCUGUCUGAAUAUGGGGGGACCAUCCUCCAAGGCUAAAUACUCCUGACUGACCGAUAGUGAACCAGUACCGUGAGGGAAAGGCGAAAAGAAC